GUGGGGAAUUUUGGACAAUGGGCGCAAGCCUGAUCCAGCAAUGCCGCGUGCAGGAAGAAGGCCUUCGGGUUGUAAACUGCUUUUGUACGGAACGAAACGGUCCGGGUUAAUACCCUGGGCUAAUGACGGUACCGUAAGAAUAAGCACCGGCUAACUACGUGCCAGCAGCCGCGGUAAUACGUAGGGUGCAAGCGUUAAUCGGAAUUACUGGGCGUAAAGCGUGCGCAGGCGGUUUUGUAAGACAGGCGUGAAAUCCCCGGGCUCAACCUGGGAGUUGCGCUUGUGACUGCAAGGCUGGAGUGCGGCAGAGGGGGAUGGAAUUCCGCGUGUAGCAGUGAAAUGCGUAGAUAUGCAGAGGAACACCGAUGGCGAAGGCAAUCCCCUGGGCCUGCACUGACGCUCAUGCACGAAAGCGUGGGGAGCAAACAGGAUUAGAAACCCUUGUAGUCC
This 450-nucleotide ribosomal RNA is filed under the name uncultured bacterium. RNAcentral describes it as "partial 16S ribosomal RNA". It matches the Rfam family "Bacterial small subunit ribosomal RNA", at positions 354 to 796 of the family's 1533-position model. The record is from RNAcentral.